This 253-nucleotide ribosomal RNA is filed under the name uncultured bacterium. RNAcentral's name for it is "partial 16S ribosomal RNA". It matches the Rfam family "Bacterial small subunit ribosomal RNA", at positions 524 to 776 of the family's 1533-position model. The record is from RNAcentral.
UACGUAGGGGGCAAGCGUUGUCCGGAUUUACUGGGCGUAAAGAGCGUGUAGGCGGCCAAACAGGUCCGUUGUGAAAACUGGAGGCUUAACCUCCAGACGUCGACGGAAACCGUAUGGCUAGAGUCCGGAAGAGGAGAGUGGAAUUCCUGGUGUAGCGGUGAAAUGCGCAGAUAUCAGGAAGAACACCCGUGGCUAAGGCGGCUCUCUAGUACGGUACUGACGCUGAGACGCGAAAGCGUGGGGAGCGAGCAGG